Molecule: ribosomal RNA, 253 nt
Filed under: uncultured bacterium
Lineage: Bacteria
Description: partial 16S ribosomal RNA
Rfam family: Bacterial small subunit ribosomal RNA
Source: RNAcentral
UACGUAGGGUGCAAGCGUUGUCCGGAAUUAUUGGGCGUAAAGAGCUCGUAGGCGGUUUGUCGCGUCUGCUGUGAAAACCCGAGGCUCAACCUCGGGCCUGCAGUGGGUACGGGCAGACUAGAGUGCGGUAGGGGAGAUUGGAAUUCCUGGUGUAGCGGUGGAAUGCGCAGAUAUCAGGAGGAACACCAAUUGCGAAGGCAGCUCGCUGGGACGAUACUGACGCUGAGGCGCGAAAGCGUGGGGAGCAAACAGG